UACGGAGGAUGCGAGCGUUAUCCGGAUUUAUUGGGUUUAAAGGGCGCGUAGGCGGACGCUUAAGUCAGCGGUAAAAUUGCGGGGCUCAACCCCGUCGAGCCGUUGAAACUGGGUGCCUUGAGUGGGCGAGAAGUACGCGGAAUGCGUGGUGUAGCGGUGAAAUGCAUAGAUAUCACGCAGAACUCCGAUUGCGAAGGCAGCGUACCGGCGCCCAACUGACGCUGAAGCACGAAGGCGUGGGUAUCGAACAGG
RNAcentral lists this ribosomal RNA (252 nucleotides) under uncultured bacterium. RNAcentral's name for it is "partial 16S ribosomal RNA". It matches the Rfam family "Bacterial small subunit ribosomal RNA", at positions 524 to 776 of the family's 1533-position model. The record is from RNAcentral.